Molecule: long non-coding RNA, 1139 nt
Filed under: Panax ginseng (ginseng)
Lineage: Eukaryota; Viridiplantae; Streptophyta; Magnoliopsida; Apiales; Araliaceae
Description: long non-coding RNA (PGIN_LNC016003)
Source: RNAcentral
ACUGAAAUUACGCGGCCCGUGGCUCAGAUUAGGCCGGCCCAGCCCGACCCGCGGGCUUUUUCAUUUUUUUUAAAAUCCGUAAAUACUGUAAAGCACAGGAAGGAAAUGACUAAAUGAGUAAACAUAUUACUAAUACAUACAAUGAUACAAAUGAGAAAAACUAAUAAAUAUUAAAUGAACCAAGAGCAAAUAGAAUAGAAUCCCAGCAAGAGUUAUUGUAAAUCCAUUCAUCCCAAGCCACUCCCAUCACUGCAAUAGCAAUAAUAAAAUUUACCCAGCAACAGUAAUAUUUUACUUCAAUCAACUUCUAGAUUUGAGUCAUCGUUAAAUACCCAAUGAGAAAACUGAAACUGAAAGGGGAAAAACAAAGAAAAAGAAAAGAGAAUGAAACAAAUCUACUAAUAAAACAUAAAUGUAUUACAUAAAUGAUUGUAUAUAAGGAUAUGGCUUCAAUUCAAUGACUGGAAUUUUUCUUACACGAGCUAAAGAAUUAAAUAUACAGAACCCACAUUAUAUGUUCUUGUUUAAUAUUCCAUUUGCACAUUAUCUGAACUCUUCUAAUGGACUUUAGAAUGAGAAGAAAAUCAUGCAGGAGCAGGACAUCAAUUUUCAAGAAACUGCACUACCAUAUGAGAGAAAAAUCCUGUAAAUCAUCUUCCAAAUUAAAAGGGUAACCAAAUUUAUGUAAAGGAAAAAUAAAAGGACGAACAAGAAAAAUGAUAAAUAUCCAGAUCGAAUAAUUGCAGGACAUAUUAAAAAUUAAAACACACUAACUUUUUUACCUAAAAACAAGGAAUUCAAUAUUUUGGGCAAAAAAGUGAAAGAAAAUUACAUACCUUGAACCAAAAAAGUAGAUCUGAUCCUUCAACCAAAAAUGAAAAAGCUAAGCAACAAAGUCGGGACGAAGAGGAUAAAACACUGAGAUAUAUUAUAUAUAGAGAUAAAAUUACUCAGAUUCGGGACGAAGAGGAAGAACUAAGAAGCUACAUAGUCGGCGACUCGGCGUGGUCGAUCGAAGCGUGGAUUUCUCGGUCGUGACUCGUCGUUGGCUCUUUGAGGACUCUCAGUUUUAGAUCUGAAUCAUCUGAUAUCAAAAAAGACUAGCUAAGCCGGUUAGAGUAUAGUGUACUCGAACAUAA